RNAcentral lists this ribosomal RNA (440 nucleotides) under uncultured bacterium. Its description in RNAcentral is "partial 16S ribosomal RNA". It matches the Rfam family "Bacterial small subunit ribosomal RNA", at positions 338 to 795 of the family's 1533-position model. The record is from RNAcentral.
CCUACGGGAGGCAGCAGUGGGGAAUAUUGCACAAUGGGGGAAACCCUGAUGCAGCGACGCCGCGUGAGCGAUGAAGUAUUUCGGUAUGUAAAGCUCUAUCAGCAGGGAAGAAAAUGACGGUACCUGACUAAGAAGCCCCGGCUAACUACGUGCCAGCAGCCGCGGUAAUACGUAGGGGGCAAGCGUUAUCCGGAUUUACUGGGUGGAAAGGGAGCGUAGACGGUCCUGCAAGCCAGAUGUGAAAGCCCGGGGCUCAACCCCGGGACUGCAUUUGGAACUGUAAGGCUAGAGUGUCGGAGAGGCAGGCGGAAUUCGUAGUGUAGCGGUGAAAUGCGUAGAUAGUAGGAGGAACACCAGUGGCGAAGGCGGCCUGCUGGACGAUGACUGACGUUGAGGCUCGAAAGCGUGGGGAGCAAACAGGAUUAGAUACCCGUGUAGUC